This 468-nucleotide ribosomal RNA is filed under the name uncultured bacterium. Its description in RNAcentral is "partial 16S ribosomal RNA". It matches the Rfam family "Bacterial small subunit ribosomal RNA", at positions 28 to 507 of the family's 1533-position model. The record is from RNAcentral.
GACGAACGCUGGCGGCGUGCUUAACACAUGCAAGUCGAACGGAAAGGCCCUGCUUUUGUGGGGUGCUCGAGUGGCGAACGGGUGAGUAACACGUGAGUAACCUGCCCUUGACUUUGGGAUAACUUCAGGAAACUGGGGCUAAUACCGGAUAGGAGCUCCUGCUGCAUGGUGGGGGUUGGAAAGUUUCGGCGGUUGGGGAUGGACUCGCGGCUUAUCAGCUUGUUGGUGGGGUAGUGGCUUACCAAGGCUUUGACGGGUAGCCGGCCUGAGAGGGUGACCGGCAACAUUGGGACUGAGAUAGGGCCCAGACUCCUACGGGAGGAAGCAGUGGGGAAUAUUGCACAAUGGGCGGAAGCCUGAUGCAGCAACGCCGCGUGCGGGAUGACGGCCUUCGGGUUGUAAACCGCUUUCGCCUGUGACGAAGCGUGAGUGACGGUAAUGGGUAAAGAAGCACCGGCUAACUACGUG